Molecule: ribosomal RNA, 489 nt
Filed under: uncultured bacterium
Lineage: Bacteria
Description: bacterial SSU rRNA
Rfam family: Bacterial small subunit ribosomal RNA
Source: RNAcentral
GAUGAACGCUAGCUACAGGCUUAACACAUGCAAGUCGAGGGGAAACGAUAGAGAAAGCUUGCUUUUUCUAGGCGUCGACCGGCGCACGGGUGAGUAACGCGUAUCCAACCUGCCCACCACUUGGGGAUAACCUUGCGAAAGUAAGACUAAUACCCAAUGACGUCUCUAGAAGACAUCUGAAAGAGAUUAAAGAUUUAUCGGUGAUGGAUGGGGAUGCGUCUGAUUAGCUUGUUGGCGGGGUAACGGCCCACCAAGGCGACGAUCAGUAGGGGUUCUGAGAGGAAGGUCCCCCACAUUGGAACUGAGACACGGUCCAAACUCCUACGGGAGGCAGCAGUGAGGAAUAUUGGUCAAUGGACGAGAGUCUGAACCAGCCAAGUAGCGUGCAGGAUGACGGCCCUAUGGGUUGUAAACUUCUUUAUAAAGGAUAACCCUCCCACGUGUGGGAGCUUGUAUGUACCUUAUGAAUAAGCAUCGGCUAACUCCGUG